RNAcentral lists this unclassified non-coding RNA (1645 nucleotides) under Hevea brasiliensis (rubber tree). The record is from RNAcentral. Lineage: Eukaryota; Viridiplantae; Streptophyta; Magnoliopsida; Malpighiales; Euphorbiaceae.
GCCGAUACUCAUUUUCCCACAUCUCUACUUGCCUUAUUGAUAAAGCAUUUCUAUCCAAAAAUCCUGCCAGAGCCGCAGGAUAUGUCACAUGGACCAGACAUAGUGCUUGGAAUUAUAUCGCUAGGAGACGCCACCAUAGACUCGUUCAUCAACUUCCCAUGGUUAACAUUUGCUGCACACGCCAUUGAUUCUGAUUCCUGAACAUAGCUCCACAGCACCUGGAGGUAUUCUGGGUUUGUAUUUCAACAGUUUUGCAUAUUCAUUUAGUAUAUGAUACAUGUAAUCAUACACAUAAUCCAUCUUCAGAUCUUCUUGAAUGAAGUUGCUGGCGGCCUCCCCUAUUGCCUGUGCCUGUUGAGUGUGAUUGUUGCCCCAUUCUACGGAAAACUUAAGAGAACUGCACUUGGCGUUAUCCCUAAUAGGCCAGUAAUGCUGCAGUGGGAGCAUGCCUCUUACAUAGAAAUCAUAGUAACGUGGCUUCACGUACAAGGUCAUGGAAUCGCAUGCUAAUAUGUAUUUCUCGCUCACAGACCACGCCCAUCCCUCUAUAUAAAUCUUGUAUCUAUGGGUGCAUUGAUCUUGUAGAUUUGAUUGUUUGAACCCUUGUUUAGAUUCUUGUUCCCAGUCCUGAACAUAUAAGCGAGCGUUCCAAUCGUUUUGGUCUGAAACGUUGCAUUUGAGAAGGUCUUGUCUUGUUGGAUCCACAUAUGGGUUGCCUUUCCAAUAAGCAUAGGGUACCCUGUCCUUCCAUUUGAUUCUGCUGUUACCUUCUUUUAUGUCCUUCAACACAUUUUUCCACGGCCUUACAUUUAUCUCAGCCCAGCCCCAAAAUGACCAAUCAGGGAACACAAUAUCCAAGCUCUGAUGGUCCGAGCAGUAUCUGAACAACGGUGGUGGGCUAGCAUUUGGGCCUUGAAAGUCCGACGAUCGGACGACUGGCCUAUCACCGCAAUCAAACAUCAGUUCCAAAUCAGGCAAUCUUCCAGGGUACCACCUUAGGAGCUGCAAUAUACCCCAGAGAGUGAACAUAUCUCUGCUCUGUAUGGACUGGGUAUACUUCUCUACAUAGGCCUUCCCGUUCACAAUCACAAGCCUAAAAUGCGCCUUCGGGCGCGCCCGUUCGAUCAUGUCACUCGUGAUUCCCGUCUCUUUCCACGGCCGUAGAUCUUCGUGGAUCCAUUGGAAGUAGGAUGGGCAGGUCACAGUUGAUGGAUUUGUGGGGAUGUGAAUUGAUGGGUAAUCUUCUGGACAGGUUUGCGUCUGGUUUCCUGUAGUGCAUGGGAAUUCUGAUUUUUUCUGUGCUGGAGUGGAAAAAACCCUAAAUAUAUAAGUAUCAAAACAACCCACGAUGAAUAAGGCAAGGAAAAUAAAGAAGACAAAUAAAAUAGUGGUUGCAACUCUAUUGUUUAUCGGACGUCGCCAUCCGGUAGCUGUGGAAUGUCUGGCAGGCCAGAAACUGCGUAGAGAUUUCUCAUUGUUCACCUUCAUGAUACUCUGUGCCUUGAAAAGCUAUAUAUAUAAGCUGGUUUCAUUCAAGUUCAGUUCAGUUGUAUAUAUAUGGACUGAGCAUGCCGAUAGCUUGAAGUAUCUACAUGAAUUUGCCUUAGGCGUGUAGACGGAGUUAAUAUGGAGCGCAGACUUAUUU